This 497-nucleotide ribosomal RNA is filed under the name uncultured bacterium. RNAcentral describes it as "partial 16S ribosomal RNA". It matches the Rfam family "Bacterial small subunit ribosomal RNA", at positions 28 to 507 of the family's 1533-position model. The record is from RNAcentral.
GAUGAACGCUGGCGGCGUGCCUAAUACAUGCAAGUCGAGCGAACAGACGAGGAGCUUGCUCCUCUGACGUUAGCGGCGGUCGGGGGAGUAACACGUGGAUAACCGACCUAUAAGACUGGCAUAACCUCGGGAAACCGGAGCUAAUACCGGAUAAUAUAUUGAACCGCAUGGUUCAAUAGCGAAAGACGGCUUUGCUGUCACUUAUAGAUGUAUCCGCGCCGCAUUAGCUAUUUGGUAAGGUAACGGCUUACGAUAGCAACGAUGCGUAGCCGACCCGAGAGGGUCGACCAGCAGACUGGAACUGAGAAAGGGCCGCGACACCGAAGGGAGGCAGCAGUCGGAACUCCUCCGCGAGGCAGCAAUGCCUGAUAGAGCAAAGCCGCGUGAGUCAUGAAGCUCCGCGGACCCGAAAACUAAGAUAGUAGGCAAAAAGAAAAGUGCAAGCAUAUAUGAACGUCAUGACGGUACCAAAUAAGAAAGCUCCGGCUAACUACGUG